GGGUCAGGGGCGGCGCGCGGCACUUUCGAGCGCGGGGCGGGCGGGAGGCGGCGGCGGCCGGGGCGGCGGCGGCGGCGGCGGCGGCGCCAUGGACGAGGCCGUGGGCGACCUGAAGCAGGCGCUGCCGUGCGUGGCCGAGGCGCCGACCGUGCACGUGGAGGUGCACCAGCGCGGCGGCAGCACCGCGAAGGAGGAGGACAUAAAGCAGAGCGUCCGGAAGCUGCUCAACAGGCAUAACAUCGUGUUCGGGGACUACACGUGGACCGAGUUCGACGAGCCGUUCCUGACCAGGCACGUGCAGUCCGUGGCCAUCGUUGACACGGAGUUGAAGGCCAAAGACCCACAGCCCAUCGAUCUGGGCGCCUGCACGGUCGUGCUGCACGUCUUCCAGCUGAACGAGGGCGGCCCCAGCAGUGAGACUCUGGAGGAGGAGUCGGAGAACAUCACUGCCGCAAGCCACUGGGUCCUGCCUGCAGCUGAAUUCCACGGGCUUUGGGACAGCUUGGUAUAUGAUGUGGAAGUCAAAUCUCAUCUCCUGGAUUACGUGACGACGACUCUGCUGUUCUCGGACAAGAAUGUCGACAGCAACCUCAUCGCCUGGAACCGGGUGGUGCUGCUGCACGGCCCUCCGGGAACUGGGAAGACCUCCCUGUGUAAAGCCUUAGCCCAGAAGCUGACCAUUAGGCUCUCAAGCAGGUACCGGUACGGCCAGCUGAUUGAAAUAAACAGCCACAGUCUCUUUUCCAAGUGGUUCUCGGAAAGCGGUAAGCUGGUAACCAAGAUGUUCCAGAAGAUUCAGGACUUGAUCGACGACAAGGACGCUCUGGUGUUUGUGCUGAUUGACGAGGUGGAGAGCCUCACGGCUGCCCGCAACGCCUGCAGGGCCGGCACCGAGCCUUCGGACGCCAUACGCGUGGUCAAUGCCGUCCUGACCCAGAUCGACCGGAUCAAGAGGUGACACUGACCGGGGCACAGGGGGGCCACGCGAGGGUGGGAGGCGCCCACACACGAGACCUUCCUUCCGGCUCCUCCGACUGGAAGCUCGGCUGCCACCAAGUCUGCUCUGCCUCGCCCGCCCGAGGCCGCGUGUGUGCCCGCUGCAGCCCGUAGCUGUGCAGGACUUGGAACUACUGAAGUCGUAGCGCAGACCUGCUCGUGCCGGAAACUCACGGCCACGGAAAAGCGCGGGAUGGAGUGAAACGUGACGCACGCAAGCUCGUUGGCACUGAAGGGCUACGACGGGCAGGUGGACGUUACCUGCACGCCCUUCGUGGCGCCGGACUCCCUGUGGCACAGCCCAGCCUUGCAGGUCCGGAGCCUGUGGUCGGUGUAGCCUAGGCUGGUCCCGCUUUGAGGAGUGACUCCUAGUAAGCAGACUCACAAGGAAGCAGUGUCCAUGCCAGAGCCCCUCUGCGUUCUCUGCAGCGUUCCGCCGGCCGCUCCGCUGCCCACAGCUCUCACAGUCCUAGGGUGCUGUCCUACACCGAGGGUGCCGGACCCCAGCGCAGCGCUCGGAAACGAGCUCGCUACAUACGGACUCGCAGGGAACUGACUUCGCUAAGGGCCGUUCGCCCAGGCCUUCGGCGUAUCUUCACCACCGAGAGGCUCUGACUUCUCUGGACGCGGCUCUCAGGGUUGGCUGUGGGGGCCGCUCGCUCCCACCCUGCGGCCGGCGCUGCCCAUGCUCUUCCUGGUCUCUGCUCCUGCGCCUUCAGUGGCGGGCUGUGCUCUCCGGAGUUUUCUACAGCAUCUGACCCCUGACCGUCCCUCCGCUGCCUCCACUCCCAGACCACCUCCGUUUCUGCCGCCGGCCUCUCCUCUCAUCUCUUUGGGCAGCCCGGGCAGCCGGUGCCUGGCCUUGCUCACCCAUCCGAGGCCUGCGGGGCCACUGGACUAGGUGUCCAGCACACCCCAGAGCAGUCGCUCAGCUCCGAAGCCCCCAUUUCCAGGGUUCCUGCUGCAGGGACGGCUUCGUCAUACAACCGCUGUUGGAGCCCAACCCCUUCCUGUUGCCGGCAGCUGUGGGCUCAGGAGGGGAGACAUGUGGGCCUUUGGUUUCCCUCAUACUUUCCUGUCCCCUUCACGCUCCCUGUCCAGGCUCCUCGAGAUGGCCUUUCCAGGCCUGCCUUUGUGUGGCUCUGACACCCUGGGCUCCUAAGACCCCUGCACUCCUCACCCCUCCCUCGCUCACUCCUGCUCACCCUGUGCUGUGCACCUGUUGCCAGACACCAGGCACUGCAAUGUGGUGAUUCUGACCACUUCCAACAUCACGGAGAGGAUCGACGUGGCCUUCGUGGACAGGGCUGACAUCAGGC
This is an RNA transcript of Mustela erminea (ermine), 2315 nucleotides long. It is a transcript of the gene named thyroid hormone receptor interactor 13, with no coding region annotated. The record is from RefSeq and is a predicted model, not a curated record. The transcript is spliced from 10 exons. NCBI's taxonomy places the organism in Eukaryota, Metazoa, Chordata, Mammalia, Carnivora, Mustelidae.